RNA transcript from Myxocyprinus asiaticus (Chinese sucker), 1505 nucleotides. It is a transcript of the gene named actin-related protein 2/3 complex subunit 2-B-like, with no coding region annotated. The record is from RefSeq and is a predicted model, not a curated record. Lineage: Eukaryota; Metazoa; Chordata; Actinopteri; Cypriniformes; Catostomidae. The transcript is spliced from 11 exons.
UGGGUCUUACGAUUCAAUGCGGAAGCGGGCAAAGGGCAGGAAAACCAAAACGACUUCAGUAGAAUUGUGGAAAAUCAGCAUUUAAUCCUUUUUUAUUAUUAUUAUUAUUUUAUAUCUCCGUUUAUAAUUUCUUUAAAUCAUCAUGAUUUUGUUGGAAAUCAACAAUCGGAUCAUAGAGGAGACUCUAACCCUCAAAUUCGACUGUGCGAGCAACGGGAACAAGCCUGAAGCAGUAGACGUUACAUUUGCAGACUUUGAUGGUGUGCUCUACCACAUCUCAAACCCCAAUGGAGACAAAACCAAAGUCAUGGUCAGCAUUUCUCUGAAGUUCUUCAAGGAGCUUCAGGAGCAUGGAGCCAAUGAGUUGCUGAAGCGUGUUUAUGGCAAUUUACUUGUGGCUCCAGAAGAUGGGUACAAUAUUUCCCUGCUCUUUGACCUGGAUGCUCUUCCACCCAACAAAGAGGAGAUGAUCCACCAGGCAGGCAUUCUGAAGAGGAACUGCUUUGCCUCCGUCUUUGAGAAGUACUUCAAGUUCCAGGAGGAAGGUCGUGAGGGAGACAAGAGGGCUGUUGUGCAUUAUAGGGACGAUGAGUCAAUGUAUAUCGAGGCAAAGAAAGACAGAGUGACUGUUGUGUUCAGCACAGUGUUCAAGGAUGACGAUGAUGUCAUCAUCGGGAAGGUGUUCAUGCAGGAGUUUAAAGAGGGACGGAGGGCCAGUCACACGGCCCCUCAGGUGCUGUUUAGUCACAGAGAGCCUCCUCUGGAGCUGAAGGAUACUGACGCAACAGUGGGAGACAAUAUUGGAUACAUAACUUUUGUGCUGUUCCCCCGACACACCAAUGCCAACACCAGAGACAACACCAUCAACCUCAUCCACACCUUCAGAGACUAUCUGCACUACCACAUAAAGUGCUCCAAGCCGGUUCUUCUUUCCUGUGUGUGCGGACAUGACGUAAUGACGCAAGGAUGUACGUCAUGAGCCAGCGAUUUCGCACCAAAUCCAACCCGAGAGCGCAAAAUCCAAAUAAUUUGUAUAGGCUUACCAUAGUGAAUCGGGUAAAAAGGCCUACAUCCACACUCGUAUGAGGUCCAAGACCUCUGACUUCCUCAAGGUACUGAACCGAGCUCGCCCGGACGCUGAGAAGAAAGAGAUGAAAACUAUUUCGGGCAAGACCUUCUCUCGUUAAGGACAUGUUGCACAAUCUGACCACAUGAACCCACAAGACCCCGAUGAGACAUCCGUAGACAUCAUCCACCUCUAGCCAGUACUGUCAGUUCUCCAUCUGAAAUUCUUGCUUCUUUGCAUUUAUUUGAUAAAUGUUAUUAUUAGUUUGUUGGAUAAACCUUUUUGGAUAUGGUCUUGUUUUAUUGCUUAGGACUCUCUGUUGUCUGACAGUGUUUUAUUGGCAUUAGUCAUGCAAUAUUUUCCCUUCCUCUUUUGCCUUCUUUGUUUCGCCAAAUGCAUCUAAAUUUGACAUCAUAAAAUAAACCCGUCUUCUAUACAA